AACGCGAAGAACCUUACCAGGUCUUGACAUCCCGCUGACCGCUAUGGAGACAUAGCUUUCCCUUCGGGGACAGCGGUGACAGGUGGUGCAUGGUUGUCGUCAGCUCGUGUCGUGAGAUGUUGGGUUAAGUCCCGCAACGAGCGCAACCCUUGUUCUUAGUUGCCAUCAUUUAGUUGGGCACUCUAAGGAGACUGCCGGUGACAAACCGGAGGAAGGUGGGGAUGACGUCAAAUCAUCAUGCCCCUUAUGACCUGGGCUACACACGUGCUACAAUGGACGGUACAAACGGUUGCGAAGUCGCGAGAUGGAGCCAAUCCGAUAAAACCGUUCUCAGUUCGGAUUGUAGGCUGCAACUCGCCUACAUGAAGCCGGAAUCGCUAGUAAUCGCGGAUCAGCAUGCCGCGGUGAAUACGUUCCCGGGCCUUGUACACACCGUAGUAC
RNAcentral lists this ribosomal RNA (441 nucleotides) under uncultured bacterium. RNAcentral describes it as "bacterial SSU rRNA". It matches the Rfam family "Bacterial small subunit ribosomal RNA", at positions 958 to 1398 of the family's 1533-position model. The record is from RNAcentral.